Molecule: ribosomal RNA, 489 nt
Filed under: uncultured bacterium
Lineage: Bacteria
Description: partial 16S ribosomal RNA
Rfam family: Bacterial small subunit ribosomal RNA
Source: RNAcentral
AUGAACGCUAGCUACAGGCUUAACACAUGCACGUCGCGGGGCAGCAUGGGGGUUGCUUGCAAUCCCCGAUGGCGACCGGCGCACGGGUGAGUAACGCGUAUCCAACCUGCCCUUCACCACGGGAUAACCCGGCGAAAGUCGGACUAAUACCGUAUGUUGUCCAUUGACGGCAUCCGAUUUGGACGAAAGGCUUGGCGGUGAGGGAUGGGGAUGCGUCCGAUUAGCCAGACGGCGGGGUAACGGCCCACCGUGGCUACGAUCGGUAGGGGUUCUGAGAGGAAGGUCCCCCACACUGGAACUGAGACACGGUCCAGACUCCUACGGGAGGCAGCAGUGAGGAAUAUUGGUCAAUGGGCGUAAGCCUGAACCAGCCAAGUAGCGUGCAGGAUGACGGCCCUAUGGGUUGUAAACUGCUUUUAUGCGGGGAUAAAGUGGCCCACGUGUGGGCUUUUGCAGGUACCGCAUGAAUAAGGACCGGCUAAUUCCGUG